AGAUGAGGACAUGUCAACCCAAAACUGGUCUUUCCUGAGGAUGAGGUCAAGUGAAAUCAUUUACCUUUUCUUGGGUGUUCUUAAUACACCAGUGGCAUCAGAGAGGGCAGACAGUUGUGUUUUGGGGGAAAUAAGCUGGCCAGGGAAGCCAAAGUAGGGGUUUGCUUGGGAACCAGUGAUGUGUCAGCUGGUGGCCUGGACCAGUCAGUGUGCCUGAGGGACUUGGGAUGAGAAACCCUAUGGUCUGGCUCUGGCAGGGGACAGUGGUGGCCGAGGGGCUGCCCAGUCCCACAAGGCUGCUGCCCCGUAGGGAGGCUGCAGACAUCUGACCCAACUAUUCUGUGAUCCUAUGUUCUUCCCAGCGCUGGCAUAUGAGAAGCUUUGAGGCAAUUUUUUUCUCUGUCGUUCAAGAAACCAGAAACUUGCAAGCUGUGAACAUGUUUCUGAAACAAAUUACCUGGAUUUUUUGCUUUCCACAGAACAAAACCUCAUCAGAAUUUCCAUCUUGCUGGAAAUACUGCUAUUUUGCUUUUUAAUUGUAACUUGAAACACCUGAAAAAGAGAACAUUGAAAUUCCCUAGGAGACAGAAAUUUUCAGUUUAGGCAUAUUUUUUUCACUCUUCAAGCUCCAGUUUCUGCAGAAGCUGAGGCAGAGGAACUGCAGAGAACAACCUGUGUCAUUGCACAGUUCAUUCUUGCCAGAACAACUCAGUUCUGUGCAGUGACCAAAGGAAACGGCCUGUAAAUAAAGAGCAAGUGACCAAGCAGCUAAUAACUUUAUUGCCAUGCGUAUAAGCAAUUAUAUUAAAUUAUUAUUUAAUUUUAAUUAAAUUUAAUUAUUAUUUAAUUUUAAUUAUAUUAAAUUUACAAGGUUUCCUUCUGGUCUUGCUUCACCCCUUCUGAGCACUGGUCUUUGCAACCUUAACAUUUUCAUUUGGGCAUACUUUGUGCUUUUGGAACUGUGCUUUGAUAACACACUGUGUAAUCUAAAGGGUUUUAAAGCCAUCCCAUUAGGAUACAAAGAAAAUGAGUGAGAAAAGAUGUUUUUGAAGUGGGGACAUAGCAAUGCAUGCCUCAAAAUUAAGUCCUGCGUUUGAGUCUGUACAUCACCUUUCUCUACUCUCUGCUCUGGAACUUGGAGUUCAGAUGAAUUCCUGUGUCGGGAUGUGAAAGAGAGAGCUGUCAUUAAUCAGCCGUUAAACCUUGCGGUGGUAUCUUGCAUGCAAAUUGUGGUGACUUUGAGGCAUCCAUCACACCGAGUCCAUCACUCUCAGACCUGUGCAACACCUAAUGAAUGGUGUGAGCUUCCAUCACAUGAAGACCUGAACCACAAGAAUAAGAAAGUGUAUGAACGAGGCACGAAGAAUAGACAGAUGCAAUCAUGAACUAUUGAAGACCUUCCAGUUCUUCCUACCUGAACUGAAAGUUCUGGCAUGUCAAAGGUCUAUGGCCAAUGUACAAUAUCAUGCUUUGUAUUCAAAUGGAUUUUGUUGAGAUGGUGCAUUAGUGUCCCCCUUGGUACUCCUUGAAGCAACCACUCACUACGUGGGAUGUGCAAGUCAAGCCUGGAAGAGAAGAGGGAAUUCUACUGAGCAUUUACUGCACGGGACGUUGUGUCAUACUGUUCCCAAGAGUCCGAAUGGGAGGUAAACAGCCACCUGGAGAGAGAGUAUAAGCCCCUCAUGAUUCCUGUCUUUCUACAAAACCUGGGUACAAAAUCUGUGCAUGUCACAUCACUGCCCAUGAUGCUAAGACUAGAUGCAGCUGUUUCUAACAGAAGUACCUUUUCUUUUUUCUGAUUAUAACACUGGAAAAAAAUCUGCAAAGGUGGAGACGAACUGGAAGAGGUCAUGGAGCAAAGAAAUGUCAUCCUGCUUUCUGAGGAUAUUCCUGAAUUAUUUCUAAUGCUCUACUGCAGUGAUCCAAAGGUGCAGCACCUGCCAGAAAUGGAGGGUAUGAAUGUUUUCAGAAAAGCGAAGUACAGCUGAUUCCAAGUGCAGUGAAUAAAAUGUUUGAAAACUGAA
Calidris pugnax (ruff) is the source of this 2024-nucleotide long non-coding RNA. RefSeq lists it as uncharacterized. NCBI's taxonomy places the organism in Eukaryota, Metazoa, Chordata, Aves, Charadriiformes, Scolopacidae. The record is from RefSeq and is a predicted model, not a curated record. The transcript has 6 exons.